Molecule: long non-coding RNA, 1274 nt
Organism: Limulus polyphemus (Atlantic horseshoe crab)
Lineage: Eukaryota; Metazoa; Arthropoda; Merostomata; Xiphosura; Limulidae
Exons: 3
Source: RefSeq, a predicted model, not a curated record
UAAUAAUUUAUGGUAUUAGGAGAGAAACCACAUGUGUCCGCACACACACGAGUGGGGUGUCUGCACUUGCUUCGUAGUGUCAUUUAUUUUUAUUUUUUUUAUUCGAUAACCAACAUUCAUACCUUUCUUUUAGUACAAAUUAUAUUUGGAUAAAAUGCGAAGACCCAGAUAAAACUCCAGCGAGAGAGCCUUCACUGGGUAUCACAAAAACUAGAAUCUUCAGGGAAAGGGAAAAAAAAUAAGAAUAAAGAAAUCGAUAUUGCUAUGGACCAACCGACAGAUAAGAAAACAUUUUGGAUUGAAACAUAGUGAUAACCAGCUAAUAAACAGUGUAAUCUCUGAUUGACGUGUUCAUCCUCCUUGAAGGGAUUCCUAAGUUUCUAAAAAGUUCUAUUGAUUCCAGCUAUAUAACAUUGCACCAUGUGUGUUCUAUGAGAUCUUACAGUUUUCAAACGGAAAGCAGGAUACAGUGGUAUGUUUGUCAAUAGAGAAAAUAAAGGAUUUCGGCUGGUAUUUAUCCUGAAACUGACAAUUAUUCCCAUCGAGAACCUUUGCACAUGUGGCACGUUUUCAACUCAUUUUUUGAAGGCAUACGAAUGAUGAAGUUUUUCCGACCGGGAUGAGGUAUAAAAGAACAAGUUAUCUCUAAGUAGUGACUGGAAGUGUGAUUAACUGGAUCUAAUCUUUAACAUUUCACUAAUAGAUGGAAGGAGAACAUGCCAUGGUUAGAACUGCAUCUAUUUUGGCAGUUUUACUGACUGAUGUCAAAAGAACAAGUUAUGUCAAAAUAUCCGUAAACAUUGAUCAACUGUAACUAAUUGUUUCCACACUUACAUGCAAACUGUAAUUGAUAAUUAUUAUCAGCUUGCUUCGUUCCUAUUUGUCAUUGUCUUGUUUCUCAUGUGUAUAAGGAGUCACCGAGAAAUGACAACGAAAUCUCUAUUAAAUAAUCGCAUCUUUACAAAAAUAACAAUAAAGAUUCCUGUCACAAAUCCACACUUCAGAAGUUGAGAGAUCUUCCCAAGUUUCUGAGUAUCCUUGGUAUUUGAUGUAAAUAUAACUUAGUCCCGCGGUGUUAUUGUCAUCCUGCAGCUAAUCCGUAUUCGAAUGUUAUAUUUUGGGUGAAGAAUUCAACAUAUUAGUGCUCUUACUAUACUUAUUGUUGAAUGACAGCAAGAUUAACAAAGAAGGUAAUAAUGGCCAAGAUAAAACAUACUAAUUUUUGUGUAUCAUUAAACGUUUUACCUAAUUUGAGAAAAUAAAUUCCGGUAUAA